Molecule: long non-coding RNA, 104 nt
Filed under: Dasypus novemcinctus (nine-banded armadillo)
Lineage: Eukaryota; Metazoa; Chordata; Mammalia; Cingulata; Dasypodidae
Description: lncRNA (ENSDNOG00000051479.1)
Source: RNAcentral
AGGCGUUCCCAGAAAAGAGGGAGCAUGGCACAGCUGCUUGGAGCAAAGGGCCACUACCAAAGGUUUCGGGAAGCCGGAGGAAGCUUUGCUCUGCUGCAGAGAGC